This 75-nucleotide transfer RNA is filed under the name Methylobacterium sp. AMS5. RNAcentral describes it as "tRNA-Met". It matches the Rfam family "tRNA". From Rfam's summary of the family: Transfer RNA (tRNA) molecules are approximately 80 nucleotides in length. Their secondary structure includes four short double-helical elements and three loops (D, anti-codon, and T loops). Lineage: Bacteria; Pseudomonadati; Pseudomonadota; Alphaproteobacteria; Hyphomicrobiales; Methylobacteriaceae. The record is from RNAcentral.
UGCGGUGUAGCUCAGUGGUAGAGCGUGGCCCUCAUAAGGCCCAGGUCACAGGUUCAAAUCCUGUCACCGCGACCA